AACGAACGCUGGCGGCAUGCCUAACACAUGCAAGUCGAACGAGACCUUCGGGUCUAGUGGCGCACGGGUGCGUAACGCGUGGGAACCUGCCCUUAGGUUCGGAAUAACUCCCCGAAAGGGGUGUUAAUACCGGAUAAUGUCUUCGGACCAAAGAUUUAUCGCCUUUGGAUGGGCCCGCGUUGGAUUAGCCAGUUGGUAGGGUAAAAGCCUACCAAGGCGACGAUCCAUAGCUGGUCUGAGAGGAGGAUCAGCCACACUGGGACUGAGGCACGGCCCAGACUCCUACGGAGGGCAGCAGUGGAGAGUAUUGGACGAUGGGCGAAGGCCUAAUCCAGCAAUGCCGCGUAAGUGAUGAAGGCCUUAGGGUUGUAAAGCUCUUUUACCCGAGAUGAUAAUGACGGUACCGGGAGAAUAAGCACCGGCUAACUCCGUG
Molecule: ribosomal RNA, 433 nt
Filed under: uncultured bacterium
Lineage: Bacteria
Description: partial 16S ribosomal RNA
Rfam family: Bacterial small subunit ribosomal RNA
Source: RNAcentral